AUGAAGAAGGUUGUGGUGAAGCUGGACGUGAACGACGACAGGCAGAAGGCCAAGGCGCUCAAGGCCGUCUCCGGUCUCCACGGCAUCGACCAGUUAGGCGUGGACAUGAAGGAGCAGAAGAUGACCGUCAUGGGCACGGUCGACCCUGUCGCCGUCGUCGGCAAGCUGCGCAAGCUCUUCCCCGGCGCGCAGAUCUUCUCCGUCGGGCCGGCCAAGGAGGAGAAGAAGGACGACAAGAAGGACGGCGGCGGCGACAAGAAGCCCGCCGGGGACAAGAAGGACGGCGACAAGAAGGAGGGCGGCGACAAGAAAGACGGGGACAAGAAGGACGGCGACAAGAAGCAGCAGGAGGCGAAGCCGGCCGUGCCGGUGUACCCGCCCUACUGGUACCCGAUGCCGCCGCAGCCGCGCUACAUCGUCCACAGCGUCGAGGAGGACCCCAACUCGUGCGUCAUCUGCUGA
This 462-nucleotide ribosomal RNA is filed under the name Triticum aestivum (bread wheat). Its description in RNAcentral is "partial small subunit ribosomal RNA". Lineage: Eukaryota; Viridiplantae; Streptophyta; Magnoliopsida; Poales; Poaceae. The record is from RNAcentral.